AGCGAACGCUGGCGGCAGGCUUAACACAUGCAAGUCGAGCGGGCAUCCUUGUGGUGUCAGCGGCAGACGGGUGAGUAACGCGUGGGAACGUGCCCUUCGGUUCGGAAUAACUCAGGGAAACUUGAGCUAAUACCGGAUACGUGCGAGAGCAGAAAGGUUUAUCUGCCGAAGGAUCGGCCCGCGUCUGAUUAGCUAGUUAGUGAGGUUAUGGCUCACCAAGGCGACGAUCAGUAGCUGGUCUGAGAGGAUGAUCAGCCACACUGGGACUGAGACACGGCCCAGACUCCUACGGGAGGCAGCAGUGGGGAAUAUUGGACAAUGGGGGCAACCCUGAUCCAGCCAUGCCGCGUGAGUGAUGACGGCCUUAGGGUUGUAAAGCUCUUUUCUUCGGGACGAUAAUGACGGUACCGGAGGAAUAAGCCCCGGCUAACUUCGUG
Molecule: ribosomal RNA, 437 nt
Filed under: uncultured bacterium
Lineage: Bacteria
Description: partial 16S ribosomal RNA
Rfam family: Bacterial small subunit ribosomal RNA
Source: RNAcentral